AUAAAAUUUGAAAAAUAAAAGUAGAAAGAGAAACACUAGCCAUGGUCUCUUUACCUGGUAUAAUCCCUUUCGACCUUUUAAUGUUUUUUUAAUGGUCCCAGCUGACUGUUUUUUCUAUUCUUUCCAGCUGUCCUUCUACUCUAGAAUAUAUCCAGGUUGGGCCAGUCCUUUGGAUCCAGUUUUUCUUGAUAUCUAGUUAAUGAAGAUACUGGAGGGGAAAUGCUGAGUGAUCUUCAAACAGUAACUUUCCAAAAGCCAAGAGUAAUACCAAGAUCUCCAAGAAAGCAGCUGGGUUCAGAAGGCCGGGCACGGUGGCUCAUGCCUGUCAUCCCAGCACUUUGGGAGGCAGAGGCGGGCGGAUCACAAGGUCAGGAGUUCAAGACCAGCCUGACCAACAUGGUGAAACCCUGUUUCUACUAAAAAUACAAAAAUGAGCUGGGCGUGGUGGUGUAUGCCUGUAAUCCCAGCUACUCAGGAGGCUGAGGUAGGAGAAUCGCUUGAACCCGGGAGGCAGAGGUUGCAGUGAGCCAAGAUCGUGCCACUGCACUCCAGCCCGGGCAACAGAGUAAGACUCAGUCUCAAAAAAAAAAAAAAAAAAAAAAAAAAAAAAGCAGCUGGGUUCAGUGUUCUGUUGUUGACCCUUGUUUGGGGUUCCUCUGGUUGGCUGGCUACCAUGCAUGUCGUGUGUUGCUUAUAUCAGAAGGUGAGGGUUCUGUGUGGUGUAGAUGCUGUCGGUUAGCCGGCCUUGCUUCUCACAAGGGGCGUUUCUGGGGAGAACGCUGGGGUCUGUGUGGGCUCAAGGAGGAUCCCGUCUCCCCUUAUGUUUCUGGUACAGGAUCAGAUGUGGCCGCCCAGCAGUUGUGCACAUGGGAGGAGAAGGGGCCAGGUGGGAAAAGGGAGCAAGAGGCAGGAAAGAGCACAGACUUCGACGUUCAGACCUGGGUUCCCGUCCAGUUCCAUUCCUUGCACAGGGAAUCCCUGACAUCGUCAUCCGUCUCCUGUGCCUUUCCGCUGGGUCAGCCUCCUCCCACCAAGCUUCUGACCCACUGUCAUCCGCAGCUGCCACUCUAGCUGCAGAGCUCGACUGGGCUCUGGUUUCUCAGAAGAGCUCAGAGGACCUGGCUCCUCCCUCUUUGCUUCUGAACUGCAUUUCUUUCCUCAUUACUCAGUGUCCGCACCCACGGUGGCUGCCUGGAUAAAAAUCUGCCCCUUUCUCCCGUCACCUUUCAUGCCAGACAAAAGCCCCAGUGAGUAAUGGUGACCUACCCAGGUCCAGCUAGCAGCUCUCCAUUCCUGAGUGGCCUGGGGCAGAACAGGGUCCUGCGAGCUCCUGGAUCCCAAGUCUGAUUCCCUUUCCCUGUCUUCCCGCUUAUCUACUAAGCUUGUUUAUUGGGUAGCACUAAGCAAAGUGAAUGAUUAUUCCUGUCUUUAACGAGGAGGGGUGGAGUUCCCUCUCCAUCUUCACCCACUUCUGGGAGGCUUUCAGGGACUCAACACCCCACACUGAUAGCACUUCCCCAGGCCUGGCCCAGCCAGCCAAAGAGGAGGACCAGGCCACUUCUCAACCCAGCUGAUGCUUGGCAGCUUUGUGACCUUGGAUACACCUUCUCUUGGGAGGUCAGACCCCGUGAUCCCAGCUCUUCCAGCUAUGACAUCAUGUGAGGCUGCAAUUUUUUUUUUUUUUUUUUGAGACAGUAUCUUGCUAUGUUGCCCAGGCUGGCCUUGAAAUCCUGGGCUCAGGCGAUUCUCCUGUCUCAGCCUCCCACGUAGCUGGAACUUAGGGCGUGAGCCACCGCGCCCAGCUUCUGGAAAGGACAUGAAUGGGGAGGUGGAACUUGAUUGGGCCUGUUCUGUGAGUUCAGGAGAGGUCCUCUGACAGCUCACUUGGGGUGGGGAAAGGAGGUAAAGAGUCCUGUGGAAACUUUGGGCUCUGGGGACCCCAUUUCACUGAUGAUUGAAUGGGUCCACCUCUGUCAAAGGAAUUCAGAGUCCCGCUCAUCAUUCAGACUGGGGGAAUCAGGCUCAGUUGACUGGCCCAGCCUUAAAUCCACUGAAUUUCUUUUUAUCUCUACAUAGAAAAACGGGAUUACAGUUGCUUCUCACUGUCCAAUGGGGAUUGGUUCCUGGAGCCCCCCCGAAUACCCGUCCAUGGAUGAUGCUCAAAUCCCUUACAUGUAACCUAUGCACAUCCUCACGUAUCCUUUAACUCAUCUCUGUGCUACUCAAAUACCUCAUACCAUGUAAAUGCUGUGUAAAUAGUUCUUGUGCUGUGUUGGUUUUUAAAUUUGUAUUAUUUUUUCUUGUAUAUUUUUCAUUAUUUUUUUCCUGAAUAUUUUUGAUCCACGGUUAGUUGCCUCCAUGGGUGCGGACCCACAGACACGGAGGCUGCACCUUCUCAAAUGAGCAUGGCGGCGCCCUCUGGGUCCUCGUGUCAUCCUGUCUCUGGUGCUGCGUCCAGCAGGGCGGCGAACAGCAGAACUAAUCUUUUGCAAGUGAUCACAGUGGAGUGGAGUUCCGCUCUGUUUCCUUUUGCCCCGCUCUGGCUUACCAGAGGUCCCCUGGCCUCGGCCACAGCAUACCUAGCCUAGUGCUUGGCACCUCAGGCACACAAUAAAUAUUUAUGAAAUGGAUCUUGUCUGGU
This 2641-nucleotide small RNA is filed under the name Pan troglodytes (chimpanzee). Its description in RNAcentral is "processed transcript". Lineage: Eukaryota; Metazoa; Chordata; Mammalia; Primates; Hominidae. The record is from RNAcentral.